RNAcentral lists this ribosomal RNA (464 nucleotides) under uncultured bacterium. RNAcentral describes it as "partial 16S ribosomal RNA". It matches the Rfam family "Bacterial small subunit ribosomal RNA", at positions 339 to 795 of the family's 1533-position model. The record is from RNAcentral.
CUACGGGUCGCAGCAGCUAAGAAUAUUCCGCAAUGGGCGCAAGCCUGACGGAGCGACGCCGCGUGGAGGAUGAAGGCUUUCGGGUUGUAAACUCCUUUUCUUAGGGAAGAAUAAAGUUGGGAGGAAAUGCCCGACCGAUGACGGUACCUAAGGAAUAAGCCCCGGCUAAUUACGUGCCAGCAGCCGCGGUAAUACGUAUGGGGCAAGCGUUGUUCGGAUUCACUGGGCGUAAAGGGCGUGUAGGCGGUGUGAUAAGUCGGAUGUGAAAUCUCCAGGCUUAACCUGGAAACUGCAUUCGAAACUGUCAUGCUUGAGUACCGGAGAGGGAGACGGAAUUCCUGGUGUAGGGGUGAAAUCUGUAGAUAUCAGGAAGAACACCGGUGGCGAAGGCGGUCUCCUGGCCGGAUACUGACGCUGAGGCGCGAAAGCUAGGGGAGCAAACAGGAUUAGAUACCCGGGUAGUC